CUCGUAGGCGGUUUGGCAAGUCGGAUGUGAAACCUCCAGGCUUAACCUGGAGACGCCAUUCGAUACUGCUAUGACUUGAGUUCGGUAGGGGGCGCAUGGAAUACCCGGUGUAGCGGUGAAAUGCUUAGAUACCGGGUGGAACACCAGUGGCGAAGGCGGUGCGCUGGGCCGAAACUGACGCUGAUGAGCGAAAGCGUGGGUAGCAAACA
This 209-nucleotide ribosomal RNA is filed under the name uncultured bacterium. RNAcentral describes it as "partial 16S ribosomal RNA". It matches the Rfam family "Bacterial small subunit ribosomal RNA", at positions 568 to 774 of the family's 1533-position model. The record is from RNAcentral.